This is a long non-coding RNA of Pipra filicauda (Wire-tailed manakin), 1735 nucleotides long. RefSeq lists it as uncharacterized. The transcript is spliced from 3 exons. The record is from RefSeq and is a predicted model, not a curated record. NCBI's taxonomy places the organism in Eukaryota, Metazoa, Chordata, Aves, Passeriformes, Pipridae.
CUCGGCGCCCCUAACACCGCUCCCGGCGCCCCUUACACCGCUCCCGCCACCCGCGGGGCUCCGGCGGCUCCCGGGGCCGGCUGGGGUGAGGGGGCGAAAGGAGUGGGGACAAGACCCCCAGGCCACCCCCGCCCCGAGGUGACCGAGCUGGAGCCGCAGGCACUGGGACAGCCCGACGCUCCUCACGGUCCCUCAGCAGAGACCCGCUGAGGGGGAGACGGAUCCGCUGAGGGGGAGACGGAUCCGCUCAUGGGGGAGUGAGACUCGCUCAGGGGGAGUGGGAUCCCCUCAGGAGGGACCCCUCCACCACCGUCCCCGCACGCCGCGCUCCGCUCACCUCCCGGCGCCGCCUCUCUCCAGCCCGGCUCCUCCAGCUGCCGCUCGGCUCCAAGAGUGAGAUGUUACAAAAUCCUGCAUACAUCAGACGUCACAUGGAAUGAUAUUGGAUGCUAUUGUUGUACAGAACUGGACUAAACAACUCUCUCUACUUGGAAGCUCAUGGGUUCAAGGGCCUUGUUUCUGCUGCUGUACUCUGCAGUCUCUCCAGUUUGUUUACAUCUGUAUUUAAACGAAGAGCUCAACAGCUGACAACUGUCUACUUUACAGUAGUGGCAGCCGUAUUUAUAUUUACUGUGUUUUACCAUAAACAUUUCUACUUAUGCAAUGCAAAAUGGCAUUUUUAAAAACCGCUUUAUGCUGUUGGUUCUCCUUCUAUAGUUUUGUUGCCUAAUCUGAUAUUUACCCAGUUUGUGUGCUGAUACUUUGCUCUUUGACAAUGUCUUGUCAUUGAGUGCAUUUGCUGUGUUAUUUAAUUUCUACCCAUUUCUCUAAAUCAUCCAGUUCAUGUAAAGCCUGAUUUGGUCCUUCAGAAAUACUCCUCCUUAUCAUCUUUGGCUGAAGCAAGCUAAAGAGAAAAAUAUUUAGGCAAUAUUAUGAGAACUUCGGGUUUUGGUUAUUCCAGGAACUCCAGUGGGUCAGAGCUUCAUUUUCAUGUAUUUUUAUUUAAUUUCUCUUAUGGUCUCCUUAUUCUACUGGAACAUGGAUUAGUGAGCUGCUGGGAGAAAUGAGGAAAACUAUAAGGCACACUAAAAGUACUAAAAGUCAAUUUCCAUAUGCCUGCCAAAGUUUUACACCAGUAGAUAAGCUUAUUAGUACAUUUUAUAGCAGUGCCACUGUUUUAUUGCCAUUGAUUAGGUGUUGUGUCACCCUUGAUAUUUUAAUAACUAUUUAAUGUCAGAUGACUCAUUGUUUUCAGUCAUAUGUGAGGAAAAAUCGAAGAAGCACAUUUACUGAGAAUACUGUAUGUGUAUGCUACAGGGGGUGUUGUAGGAAUGGAAAAAGUGUAUGAAAGAACUUCCUGGAAUCUGGAAAGGGCAAAUGACAAUAUCACUUGUGAAUCUACCAGCGAGGAAGAGAAAAGCUGGUGCAGAGUUUGUAGUGAGUUUGGGUGAAAUGCCUCGUGGGAUUCCACUAUAGUCAUGAUUACAUACAUUAUUCAAAGGAAAUAAAUACAACUGUGAAAGCAGCUUCUCUGAUUAUGCUGGUCUCUUGCCUGGUAAGAGAAGUCAGGUGAAGUGUCUCAUUGUAUCUAAAGUCUUUAAAAUAAAUUAAUUCCCUGGCAACACACUAGCUGCACAUGCAUUUUAGAUUGAACUAUCACCCUUCUAUUGACAUAUUAGAACAAAUAAAAUUAUCUUAAAAAAUAGGAGUGUUUCGAUCUUGCAUUUUUGUUUGU